RNAcentral lists this unclassified non-coding RNA (232 nucleotides) under Hevea brasiliensis (rubber tree). Lineage: Eukaryota; Viridiplantae; Streptophyta; Magnoliopsida; Malpighiales; Euphorbiaceae. The record is from RNAcentral.
UCAUCAAAUGAACCUCCAGUUAGGCAUGCAGCAUAUUCAGAAGGGACACGCAACCGUUCAAGAAGCUUAUCAAGUUCUUCAAUGAGUGCUUUAUUAUUUACAGACUGCAUCUCCAACUUGUUAUUGCGUGUUUCUAUCGACUCAAUGUCUUCUCUCAUGUGUCUAAGCUUCACAUUGAAGAUGCCUAACCAUUCAUCCAUAUCAUCAACACAAUUUGUUGCCACAUCAAGCC